CACACCGCCCGUCACACCAUGGAAGUCGCUUCAGCCUUAAGCAGGUGAGCCAAUCUGGCAGCCUACCACGGCCGGGGUGAUGACUGGGGUG
This 91-nucleotide ribosomal RNA is filed under the name uncultured bacterium. RNAcentral describes it as "partial 16S ribosomal RNA". The record is from RNAcentral.